UACGGAGGGUGCUAGCGUUAUCCGGAAUUAUUGGGCGUAAAGAGCUCGUAGGCGGUUUGUCGCGUCUGCCGUGAAAGUCCGGGGCUUAACCCCGGAUCUGCGGUGGGUACGGGCAGACUUGAGUGAUGUAGGGGAGACUGGAAUUCCUGGUGUAGCGGUGAAAUGCGCAGAUAUCAGGAGGAACACCGAUGGCGAAGGCAGGUCUCUGGGCAUUAACUGACGCUGAGGAGCGAAAGCAUGGGGAGCGAACAGG
RNAcentral lists this ribosomal RNA (253 nucleotides) under uncultured bacterium. RNAcentral's name for it is "partial 16S ribosomal RNA". It matches the Rfam family "Bacterial small subunit ribosomal RNA", at positions 524 to 776 of the family's 1533-position model. The record is from RNAcentral.